AAUAGUUUUUAUCAAAUUAGUUGGGAAAAGAUAAUGACGACAUAUCAAAAGCAAAAUGAAAGGCCAAAAGCAUUAACCUAAAUAACAAAGACAUAUUAUGGAUGAGACACAAAUUGAAGAGAGGUUAGCUUGAGGAGUUGAUGGAAAUCCACAUGCAACAAUAUCCAUGCAUAGUUUUUCAACAUAAAUCUCUAGGACAUUAACUAAAAUUUGGUUGAUCUUCACCACAAUUCCUUUUAGAUUGGCCUAAAAUAUUUAAUAAGCUAAAUAACAAAGACAUAUUAUGGAGGAGACACAAAUUGAAGAGAGGUUAGCUUGAGGAGUUGAUGGAAAUCCACAUGCAACAAUAUCCAUGCAUAGUUUUUCAACAUAAAUCUCUAGGACAUUAACUAAAAUUUGGUUGAUCUUCACCACUAUUCCUUUUAGAUUGGCCUAAAAUAUUUAAUAAGCUAAGCACUUCACAAUCAUGGAAAAUUAAAGAUAAGAUAAAUUAUCUAUAUAAAUCUUUGAUGCUAUGUCUUGUAUAUGUCUUAUGAUCUCUAAUGUUGAUAAGAAUCAUAUUAUUAAACCCUUACAUAAUUUACUAGAGUACCAAAUCUUAUAAUGUGCAAAAAUCCUAUAUAGUAGUUGAUGAUUUUUUUAUUUACAAUUUCUAUAGUAUCUAUUUUAAGUGUUAAAUUAUAUAAUAUUAUAAUAGUUUGUAUGUUUUAUUAGGAGUAGCUAUGUGCACCCUUUUCUAAAUUAUGUGACAUUAACACUUCUAUAACUACUUUCAUUUAAUUUUAUUUUAUUUUUGUGUUAUUUAUAAUUUCCAUGAUUUUUUAAAUAAAGAUCAAAAUUUUGUAAAUGUUUUUUAUACUUCUAUUUAUAUCAAUAUUUUGUUCUUUGCUUACAUCUCUAAUAUAGAAAACAGUUGAGGCAACUAAUGGUCUCUCUCAGCCAUAUGAGUUUGUGAUAUUACUCAAGCUAGUAUAAGAAUGAUGCCCAAACUCAGGAAGGACAACAUGUAAUGGGUUUCUCAAGAACCCUAAAGCCUAUUUGGUAGUAAAUGUAAGAACAGAUUUUCCCAAGAUAUUUGCACCAUUAUCCCUUUGGCAGUAGGGACACUAAUUAAAUUUGUGAUAAAUUAUGUAAUCUAAGCCAGCAUUUCCAUAAAUUCUUGGAAUUCAAAACAUAAAAUAACAUGAUCAUUUUUUAUCCAUAACAUUAGAAAUUGGUUUGAAGAUGCACAAUUCUUAUUGUAUAAGCUAUCAAAUGUAUAAGGUGUAAAUAUAAAUAACAAAGCUAUCUUUUGCUUCAUAUGUUGUCUCAUGCCAUAAUUAUGAAAGUAGAAUAUAACAAGUGCAUAUUGAUUGUCAAAUAAUUAAAACAAGGCUAAAGAGAAUGAGAAGAAAAGUUGGAAUCUUAGACUUGAAAUGGCUUUAUGUAUUAGUAGAAUUUUCACAAAAAUAUAAAUUUUUGAGAUAUGAGCGAUCUUGUGUCAGACUUGACCAAUUCCUUUUGGCAUCUUUCCAAUAGACAUAGAUAAUUGUAGAUUUGAGUUUCUGGAGGGUGAUAAGGAAUGCAUCUCAUCCUGCAGUGAUGUCAAUUCAAAGAAAGAAUGAACUUGAAGCUCUAUGAGUUUAAGUGAUAGUAGUAUUGCAAAAGCAGAACAAUUGUCAAUUGUGAGUGUGGAUGGUGAUAACAUGUUGAGCACCUCCUUUUAGAGAGAUAUUACCAUUAUUGUUUGUGUACUCCAAAGCAUUCCAAUCCCAGAGGUCAAGAAACUCAAGUGAAGGGACGUAACUAGAUUGUCAUAUGAAUUGGUAAGAUGUGAAACUCACUCAAAUUGUUGGUGUUCUACUGCAUAUGAAUAUCAGAAAAAAUCAGAACUCCAAACAAAGUAGAUCAAUUUAAACAAAAUGAAUGGGAAGUAAUAAAUUAAAUAUUAAGAAUUCUUAACACGCUUGCAUAUGCAUAUGAGAAUCAGGAAAACAGAACUAUAGAAAAAGUAUAACACUCUUAUAACAUUGUAAAAUAAUAACAAGAAAAUUUGAAGCCAUCAAAAAAUAGGAAAAAGACUGCAUUGUAAACCUGAAACAUUGUUGAUGGCAUGCUCAAAUUAGAGAGACUAGGAGUAGUUUAUGAAUCAGCCAAUAUGAAUCAGCCAAUCUUUGCUAGUCGAUAUCUCAAGUGGGCCCUUUGGUGUAGUUCUAGAUUCUCUUGGAUAAAAAUUUGAACUGAAAUGAGCCUUAUUGCUCCAACCACUCCCCUAACCACAGGAUUUACACAUGGACAGGCUAACCCUUCCAUGUUUAUAUGACACUUAUAACACAAUUGCAGGAAUUAUAGAAAUCUUAGGCCAGUCUUAACCUUUUCCUUUUGUCAUGUUUCUAGUAAGUAUAACAACAGUGGAUUGUGACUUUUUGUAAAGUGCUCAUAGGCAGAUCCCUUCUCACCACCAUUUCAAUCAGAGCAGUUAGCAAUCUAAAGCCUCAAUUUUCAAGACAACUUAAGGCUUCAAGGGUUGUAAGACAAAGAAAUUAGGCUACCCCCUCCCCCCACUACCAUUUCAAUCAGAGCAGUUAGCCAUUUAAAGCCUCAAUUUUCAAGACAACUUAAGGCUUAAAGGGUUGUAAGACAGAAAAAUUAGGCUACCUCCCCUAUGCAUUUUCAAUAACGUGGGAGAAAUGAGGUGCUAGAUAGUAGGAGAUAUAUUAGUCUAUGACAAUUCUCACUUUCUAGUUACCUUAAAAGGUGAGGUGGCAACACUAGGAGACAUAUUAGAGAGUUGAGACAACUGCUUCAAUAUCCAGUUUUUCUUUGACUUGGCAACAAUUACAUCUCAAAUAAAAGUUAACCCAAAUUUCCAAAACUUGUAGAAUGGCGAACGAAGUAACAAGAUCUUAUAUUGACUUAUAGUCAUCCAGGUACAAAGCACUAGCAAGUUAUAUCUUUGAAGAUACAAAUUUCUAAAUUUACUAAUCUAAUGAAUUAAUGAAAGAGGUGAAAAAUGACAAAAAUUACACAAUUACUUUGUCCAAAAACUAUUAAUUAACAGAAUUAGACUCUUAACAGAUGUUGCUCAUUUUCAAUACUUGGUUAAUGAUUUCUAGCCAAACGAUCCCUAUAUUGCUCAUAAAGGGACAGUCCUAUACCUAAAAAAAAUUACAAAUAGGGUGGAAUAAUAAGGAAGUCUUUUGCCUAGUUUUGUUUGGUUAGAAUGACAUUUUAAAAAUAAUUAAAGGCAUAGUGAUAGACUUUUGUUUUGUCUAUGCUAAUACACAUAGGGAAAAGACAAGAGAACUACUCUACAAAAUUUACACUUAAUGUUUGUGACUUGUUCAAUUUGAUUACAGUCCUAGUAAAUAUGAGAAAUAACAAAUGAGCACAACAGUCUUAACAGAUUGAUAAUUAAAUUAAAAAAUAAUACAACCAUCCAUAGUGGGGAGAUUACCUAAAAUAUAUGGUACAAAGCAUCUAGGAUUGAAAAAGAUAGCAGGAAUUCUUUCUACAUCAGACAUCUAUAAAUAUGAAUUUCAGGGGAAUGAGAAAUGUUUAAGCCAGUUCAAAACUUGUUACCUUCUUGAAGUGCUUUCAAGCUCAAACAGGCUACUGUAGGGAGUGAUUUCACGUUGGGCCAAGGACUAAUCACAAGCUUCUUAAGUAAGGUGCAAUCUGUGACAAAAUACUAAAUAAAUCAACCUUAGCAUUUUCCUAAACACUCAGAAAGCAAAAAUUAAAGUAACAUAAUUACUUGGUACAUGGUAUAAGUAUUUGAUUGCAUAAAAUGCAAACAUAAAAAACAAAAUUGUUAUUUUCUAUACAUGCUAAUGAAUACAAAGAAUUAUCAAGGCAGAACUGUAAAUACAACAUACUGAUUGGAAAAUAGUAAAUAUGAAGCUAUAAAAAUGAGAUGACAUCUUGAGAAUUUAGACCUGAAGUAGCUUUCUGUACUAGUCUUUGUAGGGCGCUAAGGGAAUGCAUCUCUUCUGGCAGUGAUAUAAGGGCAAGAAUAAAUUCAAAGCUCCAUAGGUGCUAUAAGCCUGCAUAUCCAAUCUGGUAAUGUUAUCAAUUGAGACCAGUGAAGAAAGAGUCUGAUGCAAGUAAGAGAAGUCUUUACCUUUGCACCAACCCUCAAUAGCUUUUUUCCAAGGCAUGGGCAAUAUUCAGCCCAUCCUCACCAUCAUCCUUAUUUGCAAUGGCAUAUAAGAAACCAUUGGGCCAAUGAAUAACCAUGAGUUUCUUAAACAAGGUGAAAUCUGCAAGAAAAUAGUAAUCAAAUCAACCCUAGCAUUUUCCCGAACUCUUGUAAUGCAAAACUUAAAGAGUAAUAUGAUUAGCUUGGUCCUCAAUGACCAUUUAAUGACUUGUCUAAAUUGUACAUUGAUUUAAUGAUGCAAACCUUUCAACUUAGUGACUUCUUCAAAAUUAUAAUUUUAUCAAAUAAUUUGGCAGUAAAUAAUAAAAAUUGCAGCUAUUAAAAACAAGAAGAAACAUUGAAUUGUAAAACUGAAAUAUAUUGUAGAUGACAUGCUUGAAUUAAAGAAUAUCCUUCAUGAAUCAAUCAUCCAUUACCGGUCAGUAUCAAUUCUGGAAACAUUGAAAAACUGAGGAGCACAGUGAUUCAAAUUCAGGGCAGACAACAUUUUGUAGCUCAUUAAGAGAUCUUUGGAUGCUUAUCCAAUCUGAUAAAGUUGCUAAACAAGAACAGUAUUUUAAGAAUUUCCAGAAUGGUAACAUUUUGAGGCAUCAAUGAUGGAGGCACCAACUCAAGCUUCUGAGUCCUUGCAAUUUGCACGUGAACCUCAUCCCCAUUAUCUGACAAAAGAAGUUGCCUACAACAUUUAUUCAAGGUCUCAAAGUUAAUAUUGAAUCCACUGGUGGAGAUGUCCAAGCACUACCAUUAUCACUUUUUACAGCAAACUGAAAACAAUUAUGUGUAAUAAAACCAUUAACCUAUUCCAAACAUAAAAUAGAAAGAUCAUUUCAGCAAAGAAUUAUAAUAGUUAAUUUUAACCAUGAAAAUAAACAUCAUUAGUAAUUGAUAUCUUUAAAGAUAUGAUUUUCAAGCCAAACAAGUUCAACUAAAUUAUAAUACAUGAUGACUAAAUCAUAAUAUCAAUGGACUACUAUUUCUCUCUAUUCUAACGCUAUCAAUGGCUAACAUAAUAAUCAAGUGUAUUUAUCUAUGUUGUGUUUUGGUUUGAGUUGAUAUUGUAGAAAAUAGUAUAAAGCAUAGCAAUAGACUACCAUUUUGUCCAUCCUAAUACAUACACAGAGAGUAGAGAUAAGACAAGUAGUAUAGACAUUUUUUUCCUUUAUAUGAUCCAUUAAUAAAAAAAAUUAUCAAUGAGCAUAACACCCUUAACAUAUCGAUGGUAAAAUUUAUGAUGCUGCAGCCAUCCCUACUGGGAGAAGGAUUACCAGAAAUAUACAUGCCCACUAGCAGACCUGAAUUAAAAACAGAGCAAAAGUCCUUUCUGCACUAGUCAUCUAGUAGAUAUGUUUUUAUGGGCGAUGUGAAAUCUUUAGGGCAACCCAAGACUUGUCCCCUUUUAGCAUCCCUUUAGGCAUUAAGCCAAUCAUAAAGCUUCUUAAGGAAGGUGAAACCUGUGACAAUGGUUUAAAGAUGGAAAAAAAUUUUCAAACUUGCUGAUCUGAGCAGUUUAACAGAGCAAAUAUAAAGAAGUGACAAAGCAAAUGAAAAUAGGGCAUUCUGCAUGUAUGAUAAUAAAAUUGAAAAAAAAACUAGGGAAUUUCUGACCUGAAAUGACAUUCUGUAUAAGUUCACUCUUCACUAAUGCAGGUACAUGUUAAUUUAUAGGAUAUAAUCAAUCUUGGGCCAGUUCCCUUCGACAUCUUUCUGUAAGGUGCUCAUAAUUUUAUAUAUUAAGGUGUGCAAAUGAGGUGAGACUGCCAAUCCAAUGUGGUAAUGCUGUCAAACCACAAUAGUUGUAAAUUGAGAGACGUUGAAGAGUUGAAACAUGUCGAUGCAGCUCAUCUAGAAGAAAUAUCAAAAUCACAUAUCUUCUAUAUGGACAAAGACUCCAAUGGAGAAUCAAUAACAAGUAUUAACUGCCGCAAUACCUCUUCUCUCACUGUAGACAGUAGCAAUUUCUUAAGACAAGGUAACAAAGACACUUGCAAGGAUGUCUAGAAUAGAAAAAAGACUCUGAGCUCAGGGCAUUGCGAGAUCUUUAAACUAGAAAGAAGAGGAGAUGAAUGCAGUUCCAAGGACGCUAACUCCUUACAAUACUCGAUAUCUAAUUGUGAAAGAUAAGGAAAUGAAGGAGGUGGUUGUGUUGGUAACAUUUCCAGGCCCCAAUACCGGAGACACCAACUCAAGCUUCAUCUUCAUUAUCUAACAAAAGAAGCUCACUGCAACAUUUAUUCAAGGUAUCAAAGGUGAUGAAAUAUUGAAUCCCCUCGUAGAGAUGUCCAAGCUCCACCAUUAUCCCUUGUACAUUCAAUUGACAACAAUUACAUCUGCAAUAAAAUAGUUCAUCUAAGAAAUUUCCAAACAUGAAGAAUGCAAACACAAAAUAGCAAGAUCACUUUAGCAAGAAAUGAUGAGCUAAUUAUAAUUAUGAAAAGAGACAACAUUAAAAUUGACAUCUUUAAAGAUAAGAUUUUCAAACUUUACUAAAUUAUGAUAAAUGACAGCUAAAUCGUAAUAUCAAUGGACUACUCUGUUUUUGUCUAUGCUAAUGCUAUCAAUGGCUGACAUAAUAAUCAAGGGUUUUUGUCCAUGUUGUGUUUUGGUUAGAGUGAUAUUUUAGAAACUAGUACAAAUCAUAGCAAUAGACUACUAUUUUGUUUAUGCUAGUACAUACAUAGAAAGCAGAGAUAAGACAAGAAGUAUAAAAAAGUUUUGCUUGACAUGAUCCAUCAAUAACCAAAAUUAUAGAUGACUCUGACAUUCUUAAUAGAUCAAUAGCACAAAGUACAAACAAUGAUAAUGAUGAUGCAACCAUCAAAGGUCAGAGGAGGAUUUACUAAAAUUUACGUCUGAUAGCACACCUGAAUUGAAAAGAGAGGAAAGGUCUUUUUUUGCAUUGGUCAUGUAGUAGGAAUGAAUUUCUGGCAGUGAUUAAUCUCAAGGCAUGUAAAUGAUAUGAGGCUGCCUAACUAGAACAGUCCUAAAUGAUAAGUCUGCAGGGUAUUGAGGGAAUGCAUCUCUUCUAGUAGUAAUGUCAAUUAAUGGCAAGGAUGAAUUCAGAGCUCCAAAAGUAUUCAAAGGCUUCCUAUCUAGUCUGGUGAUUUUGUCAAUUAAGAGCAGAGGAGAGAGUAUGUUGUAAGUGAAUGGAGUCUUUUCCUUUUCACCAGCCCUCAAAAGCUUGUUCCCAAGGCACGGGCAAUAUUCAGCCCAUCUUCACCAUCAUCCUUUUUUACAUUGGGAUAUUAGACACCUUUGUGCCUAUGAACAAUCAGAAGUUCUUAAGCAAGGUAAAAUCUGCAAGAAAAUAUUGAUUAAAUCAACCCUAGCAUUUUGCCAAACUCUUAGAAUAUGAAACUUAAAGUAUAAUGAUUAGGUUGGUCCCAAACUACCAAUUAAUAACUUGUCUAUUGUACAUGAUUUGAUGAUGCAAAAUUUUCAAAAACUUAGUGAUCUAAAAUCAAACAUUAUAAAAAUUGAAGCUAUUAAAAACAAGACAGAACAUUGGAUUGCAAACCUGAAAUAUAUUGUCAAUGACAUGCUUCAAUUAAAGAACAAAAAUCCUAUAUGAAUCAGGUACCAUUGCUAGUCAAUAUCAAUUUUGGGAAAAUUGAAGUGUUGAGUGACACAUCCCUUCUGGCAGUGAUUGCAAUUCAAGGCCAACAGCAUUUUCAAGCUCAUUAAGAGAUGCCAGACUGUCUUCUAGUUUGAUUAAGUUGCAAAACUAGAGAAAUUGAUGAUUGUAAGGAUUUCCAGAAUGUUAACAUUUUGAAGCCCUAAUAGUGGAGGCACCAACUCCUUAUUUGACAAAAACGCUCUCUGCAAUAUUUAUUCAAGCUAUCAAAGGUGAUAAAAAAUUGCAUCCACUGAUAGAGAUGCCCAAGCCCCACCAUCAUCCCUUUUUUACAUUGAAUUUACAUCAAUGACAUCUGCAAUAAAAUAGUUAACUUGAGAAAUUUCCAAACACAAAAUAGCAAGAUCAUUUUGGCAAAACAGAACAAUGAAUUGAUAUCUUUAAAGAUACAUUUUUCAAAUUACUGUUACAUGCAUGCUUUCAGGCCACAAAAGUUCAACUAAAGUAUGAUACAUGACAACUAAAUUGUAAUAUCAAUGUAACAUUGUAUCCACUGAUAGAGAUGCCCAAGCCCCACCAUCAUCCCUUUUUACAUUGAAUUUACAGCAAUGACAUCUGCAAUAAAAUAGUUAACUUGAGAAAUUUCCAAACACAAAAUAGCAAGAUCAUUUUGGCAAAACAGAAUUAUGAAUUGAUAUCUUUAAAGAUACAUUUUUCAAAUUACUGUUACAUGCAUGCUUUCAGGUCACAAAAGUUCAACUAAAGUAUAAUACAUGACAACUAAAUUGUAAUAUCAAUGUAACAUUGUAUUUUCCCUAUGCUAACCCUAUCAAUGGUUGACAUAAUAAUCAAGUGUCUUCGUCUAUGUUGUGCUUCAAUUUGAGUGAUAUUUUAGAAAAUAGUAUAAAGCAUAGGAAUAUACCACUGUUUGGUUUAUGCUAAUACAUACACAAAGAUCAUAGAGAAGACAGAGAGUAGAAAAUCAAUGAUGAUGCAGUCGUUGAUGGUGGGAGAAGGAUUACCUGAAUUCAAAACAGAGAAAAAUUCCUUUUUGCAUGUGUCAUCUAAGAGAUAUAGCUUUCUGGGCCAUGUGAAAUUUUAGGCCAAUUCAAGACCGGUCUUCUUUGGGCUUUAGGUCAAUCAUAAGCUUCUUUAGGAAAGUAAAAUCUGAGACAAAUAAUAUUCAAAUCAGACAUCAGUAUUUCGUAAAACUCUUAGAAUGUAGAACUCCAAGUAAAAUGAUUAGUUUAGUACACAACACAAGCAAUUGGUUAGAUAGAAAUAAUUUUCAAACUUACUGAUCUGAGCAUUUUGACAAACAUAUGAUGUGCAAAUAUAAAAGCAAAAUGAAAACAAAGUAUUUUGCAUGUAAGAAAAUAAAAUUGAGAAGAAAGUUGUGGGAUUUUGCACCUGAAGGGCUUUCUGUAUCAAUUCAUUUCUUAUAAUCAUAGAUAUAAAUGUAUGGGAUAUGAGCAAUCUUAGGCCAGUCUUUACUAGUUCCCUUUCUACAUCUUUCUGCUAGGUGCUCACAUUAGAUAUAUGAAGGUUUGUAAGUGAGGUGAGGCUGCUUAUCCAGGGUGGUAACGUUGCCAAACCAAAACAUUCGCGAAUUUUUAGAUAUUGAAGAGUUGAAGCAUGUUCUACUUAGCUCAUGCGGGAGAAAUAUUAUUUCAUCUAUGAUGCAAAUAUACAGAGACUCCAAUGAAGAAGCAGUGACAAGCAUUAAUUAUCGUAAUACCUCCUCUCGCUUUAUGCAGUCCUAGUGUCUUAAGACAAGGUAACGAAGACACUUGCAAGGAUGUCAGCUUAGGGCAUUCCCAGAUGUAUAAACUAGAAAGAAGAGGGGUUGAACGCAGUUCCAAGGAUGCCAAGUCACCGCAAUUCCAGAUAUCUAAUUGUGAAAGAAGAGGAGAAGGAUGUUAGCUAGUAGACACCAUAGCCACCUAGUAGAUACAAAUAAUCACAAGCUGCUUAAGCCAUAUGAAAUCCAUGGGGAAAAGAGUAAUUAAAUCAGCCACGACAUUUUCCCAAGCUCUUAAAAUGCAAGAACCUAAAGUAAUGAUGGAAAAGGCUUGCAUUAUGUGUUAUAUGACUGUUACAUGUAUAACACAAGUGAUAUCUUGAACAACUAAAGGCACAUCAUAUGACUUUGGCUCCAAAUUUUCUCUUCAUAUGUACUAACAUUUUCUCUUAGCACUUUAACUGCAAUGUAAUAAAAAAAAUGAAGCCAUCAAAAAAGCAAAGAGAGUUUAGAUCAUGGUCUUGAAAUAACUAAAGAACCUAUGAGUCCAUGAAUUAGGUAAUAUCAAUAUGAGGAACAUAAGAGUGCUAAAGGUCAUAUCCAUCCAGGGCAGGCAGCAAAUUGUAGUUCAUUAAGAAAUGUGCAUGAAGUAGUCUUUUGCUAAACCAAAACAACUGAUGAUUUUUAUAAUUUCCAUAACGGUAACUGGUUGAAGCCGUAAUAGUAAAGACAACAACUCAAGCUUCUAACUCCUUGGGAUUAGCAUGCCAACCUCAUCCUCUUUAUAUAAUAAAUGAAGCUCUGUGCAAGAUUCAUUCUAGGAUCUUAAGGGUGAUGAAAUGUGCAAUCAAUUGAUACAAAGACAUUACUUUAUCUCGCCUUUGAAAUUUAAAAUACGUGAUAGAGUCAAGUGUGGAAGCCAUUGAUAUCAAAACAUUAGUCCAUGGAAACCCUCAAUUUUAGUUACUCAAGGAAGUUAAGUGUCCAAGCCACACAUGCUUAUCCCUUUCUGCAUUGACUAAAUCUGCGAUAAAAUACUUUACUGAAGAAAUUUCCAAAAUAUAGAAUGCAAAGAUAAAGUUUCUAAUUCCUUGGGAUUAGCAUGACAACUUCAUCCUCUUUAUAUAAAUGAUGAGGCUCUAAGCAACAUUCAUUUUAAACUCUUAAGAUGACAUAGAGAAUCUAUUGAUACAAAGACAUUAUGUUGUCGCAUCUCUGAAUUUUCAAAUACUUGAAAGAGUCGAGUAUGCUAGCCACUGAUACAGAAAUACUAGUCUAAGCAAACCCUUAAUUUCUAGUUACUAAAAGAAAGUCAAGUGUCUAAGCUCCAUGCUAUGAAGACAAUUACGUCUACAAUAACAUAGUUAAACUAUGAAAUUUCUCAAAUAUGAAAAAUGCACAAAAAAUGGACUUCUGUUUUGUCUGUGCUAAUAAACCCAGAGCAAAUACAAAGGAACAAAAUUUCUGCUUUACAUGUUUGUUGUCCUACACAAUAUGUUACUAUGAGAAUUAAAAAACCAAAUUUUAGUAAGUAUGACACUUUUAACUAAUCAGUAUCAAAAUAAAAGAUGAUGGAAGUGAGUUAUGGUAGAUUGCACACCUGAAUUUAAAAGGGAGUAGAUGUCUUUCCUACGUACAUUGGCCAUCUAUAUGAAUUUUUGGGCCAUGAAAAAUCCUUAGACCAAACUAAACUUUUGGCAGUGAUUUUAUGCUGGGGAAUUGAAGAAUGCAGGUAGUGAUUUCAAGGUGGGCCAAGGAAUAAUCAUAAACUUCUUAAGUAAGGUGGAUCUGCUGUAGUAACUAAAUCAAGGUCAAUCUAUGUAGUAUAACUUUGUACCGUCAGUAGCAAUCUUUAAGGUUCAUCAAAUGGAUAAGGUGCGAACGUAAAUAACAAAAUCAAAUUUUGCCUUAUAUGAGAAUAUAAUAUAAACUUUUGCUUCACAUGAAUAACCUAAAUAGAAUUCAUGUUGUUACAGGAUAUUGAUUGUAAAAAUAACAAAAACUAAAGCAACAAAGAAUGAAAAGAAAGGUACGUUUCAGACCUGAAAUGGCUUUCUGCAUCAGUUCGUUUCUGAACUAAUUUCUGAGACACGAGUAAUCUUGGGCCACUCAUUUCCCGAAUUGUUAACAAAUGAUUUCGACUGUGUAACGCCUCUCUUCCGGCAGUGAUGUCAAUUUAGGGCAUUUACAAAUUCGAAGCUCUUCAAGUGAGGAGAGGUUGCCUAUCCAAUCUGGUAACGUUGUCAAACCAGGCCAGUCGUGAAUUGUGAGACUCUUGAGGAUUCUAAAAGAGCACAAUUCCUCUGGCAGUGAUUGUCAAUGCAGGGCAAGGACCAAUUUCAAGAUCAGUUAACGAGGUGAGGCUGCCUAUCCAAUCUGGUAAUGUUGUCAAACCAGACCAGUCGUGAAUUGUGAGACUCUUGAGGAUUCCAAGAGAACGCAGUUCUUUUGGCAAUGAUGUCAAUUGAGAGUAAGAACAAAUUUCAAGGUCAGUCAGUGAGGUGAGGCCACCUAUCCAGUUUGGUGAUGAUGCUAAACCACAAGAGUAGUCAAUUGAGAGUGAACGUAGGUUGGUGAGGGAGCGCAUCUCUUGGGCCAAUGAUGUCAAUUCAGGGCAGUAUCCGAUUCCAAGCUCUGUAAGUGAGGUGAGGUUGCCUAUCCAGCGUGGUAUUGUUGCCAAACGAGAGCAGUCCCAAAUUUUGAGAGUUUGGAGAGUGGAAACAUGUUGACGAAGCUCGUCUGGCAGAGACAUCAAAUCAUCUAUGCUUUCAACAGACACAGACUCCAAUGAAGAAGCAGUAGCCAACAUCAACUCCCGUAGUACCACCUCUUUGACUUUACAUAGGUACAGCUUCUCAAGGCAGGGAGAUGGAGGAAAUAGUAAAGAUGUCAGUUGGGGGCAAUUCCUGAUGUCUAAACUAGAAAGAAGAGGAGACGAAUGCAGUUCCAAGGAUGCCAAGUCACCACAAUACCGAAUAUCUAAUUGCGAAAGAAGAGAAGGAGGCAGUCGCAGGGAUGUCAGCUUAGGACAUUGUGUAAUCUUUAACUUGGAAAGAAGAGGAGAUGAAUGCAGUUUCUUUUUCUCUAAUGUGUUUGGACAAAAAUAAUUUCUUUAAAACAAUAAUUUCAUAAAAUAAUUUGAUUCUCACGAUAAUUUCAAAACUAUUAUGUCUUAUUCCUUCGAAUAUAUAAAUUAUAUUAUUUUUAUUUUUAUAAUUAUUUUAAUUUCAAUAAUAUAUAAAUUAUAUAUUUAUGACGUCACUGAUUCGACCACGGUUCGAUCAGUGAACCUUGAACUAGUAACUUUUUCGAUUCAAUGAUCGGUCUGUUAUAAAAAGUGGAGGUGGAGGUGGAGGUGGAGGCGGAGGUGAAGGUGGAGAAAAUAGUCGGGGGCAAGCCCUAAUGUUUAAUUGUGAAGGAAUAGGAGAAGGCAGUCGCAGGGAUGUUAGCUUAUGACAUUCUUUAAUCUCUAACUUGGAAAGAAGAGGGGAUGAAUGUAGUUCCAAGGAUGCCAACUUAUCACAAUUUGUGAGUGUUAAUUCUAAAAGACAAGGAAAUGAAGGUGGGUGUGUUGGAGAUAAGUCCCUCCUCCACAACUCCUUUAACUUUGGCAUGCGCUCGAGUUCAAGGUACUCAAGUGAUGGGAAGAAUGGCCCUUCGGAUGAACAGUGGUCCAUGUACUCCACCUUUUCUAAACACUGAAGCUUCAGAGACUUGAGGUGAGGGAGUUCAACAAAUGGCGGUAGAAUCUGGCAUCCUAAACAACUUUUCAAAUUAAUUGUGCUGAGGUUAGGGAGUCUACAACUCAAACCACCAUUCAUCAUCCAACUUGGAAACCCCCUACCUCCAUAUCCUGUUAUAAAAAACUCCUUCAGGUUUCGAUGUGGUCGUAGGCCUACCAUCACUGACUCAGCAUCCUCACCCGAUUGAGCUUGAGCUUCUUCACCAUAUGACCAUUCUAAUUCCAAGGACUCGAUGUAUUGUUUUUCCCCCAAAUUUGCUUCCUCGGAUUCUACGUUAGCAUCCCUUACAUUUUCAAGCUUUUUAAUCCAUAGCUUUCCUCGAAGGUUGUUUAGCCUUUUCAAUUCACUCAAUCUGCCAACUUUACUCCCAGUUCCAAUAACAAACAGUGGUAGGCUUUCAAGCAAAGUCAACCUCCCUAUCCCACAUGGCAUAUAACUCAAACUUUCACACCUAUCAUUCUCCAAGUGCCUAAGAUUAAUCAAUUCCCUUAUGUCUUUGGGAAAUUCUUUUAGAUUUCUACAAUCCAUAAGUUUUAAUGUUUGCAAAUUAUAUAACCUUGUAAUAGCAUUUGGGAGUACCUUGAAAUCAUUGUAUGAAAGAUUGAGAUAUCUUAGAUGACUCAAUUUACCUAUAGAUUUUGGUAUCUUUUUUGCAACGAUUCCAGUUAGGCUCAACACACGGGAACACUUAAAAUUUGGAAUAAGUGUAUUAGGAAUUGAAUAAUUAGCUUCAACCCAUUUAUUAAAUUUCAAAAUGGUCCUUAUGUGUUUCAAAUCCUUCCAAUGGAUAUUCAACAUCAUAAAGAAUGACACAUGAUAAACUCUUUCUGAUAUCUUCUCGUUCUCCACAUUUUCUUUUAAAACAAGGAUUUCAGAUCCAACAAUAGAUUGUGCAAGAUCAUGUAUAAGAUCAUGCAUUUUACAACUUGAUAUAUUAUUAUAAACAUCUUUUUUAGCCUCCUCUAAUAAUGAUCUUGACAAAUAAUUCCUCAAAAUACCGAUCUCCUACAUAUGAAGCUUGAAUAUAUCCUUGUGCCAUCCACAAUUGCACCAACAAUUUUUUCUCAAUUUCAUAGUCUUUUGGAAAUAUUGCACAAUAAGCAAAACAUUGCUUCAAAUGGAAUGAUAGAUCAUCAUAGCUUAACUUGAGCACAGAUAAAGCCCUAUCAUUAUUUCCACCUUCCAAUAGCAACAAAUUUUCAUUGUUUCUAAUGGACAACCACGGACGUUCCUCAGUUUUAAAGCGCAAUAUUGCUCCUAGUGUUUUGAUGAUAAGAGGAACUCCAUUACACAUAUUCACAAUUUCUUUUCCAAUUCCUACAAGUCUUGGAUACAUUCUCUCUUGUCCUUCUUCAAAUGCUAUUUUUGAAAAUAAAUUCCAAGACUGGUUUUCUUUCAAACCUUUCAAAGAAAAAGGAAAAUGAUCAAUACCCAUAGUUGAUGCAACGUUUCUAUUUCGGGUGGUUACUAGAAUCUUACUCCCUUUAGCACCAACCAUCAACAAGGUCCUCAAUCUAUCCCAGUUUUGGAAGUCAUCAUUCCAAACAUCAUCAAGUACUAGCAAGUAUCUCUGCUGCCUUAGUUUUUCAUGAAGGGAAACUUUCAAAACUUCCAAUGACUCAGAUUUUUCUACAACUCCACUCAAGGAUUCCAAAAUUUUUUUAACCAGCAACUUUACGUCAAAAUCAUCAGAAACACAAAUCCAUAUCUUAGGCCCAAAAAAGUCUACCACUCUCUCAUCAUUAUAUACCAGCUGAGCAAGAGUGGUCUUGCCCAACCCCCCAAUUCCAAUAAUGGCAACAGCAGAAAGAUUUUUUUCAUUCCCAGAUGACACCAACAAUUUUAUUAUCUCUUCUUUAUCUUCAUCUCUUUCUACCAUUUCAGAGGUCAACACAAAUGAGUGAGUCUCUCUCCAACUACUCUCUACCUCCCUGUGAACUAUGUUCCCUUGAACAAGUUUUAGCAGAUCGAUUUCUUUUACAAUUUCAUCAACCUCUUCUUUGAUAUUCUUGACUCUACUACUCAUCUUAAAACGAUAUACAAGUUGAUUUGAAGAUGAGAAGAAGUCACUGACCUGCCUUGCUACUCCUCCACGCUGCAGCUGAUGGGUUGCAAAGUCAUCCAACAAGUCAUCAGCAUCAUACACGACAUCUUUGAGCCUCCUCACCCAAGUUUUUACUGCAUGGCUUUUCUCCUGCUUCUCCUCAGCAUCAAGAAGUACACCCCUGAUAGCGUCCAGUUUCUCCGUAAGCUUCGUUAACUCUUUUGCCACACCAAACGCAGAUCCAAUUUGUUGAAUAGCCGAGGAGCCUAACUUGGUUAAAACGUCAGCUAUAAUAUUGAAUGGGAUUUGUUCAGCCAUUUUUUGAAGAGCUGAAACAGGAGAAGACCAAGAAAGUAUGGUAAGAGAAGGAGAAGUUGAGAGAAUUGUAAGAGAGAAUACCACCAGACAAGCAGUGAUGAUAUAUCAUAUACACAGAGCUAGUGAGAGGACAAUAGAAGAAGAUGUAGUGGGCCUAAUAUGAUAUACUUUGAUUAGUCAAAAAGCAAUGUGAACUUAUCAUAUGCUCAUCAAAUAAUUUCUAGAAAGAGAUUUCAAUGUAUUAUGGUUAUAAAUAAAUAUGAGGCACGUGCUCUUCAAAUUUAUGAUUUUUAGGCAUGCAUUUUUACAUCACAUUAUGGCAUUAUUUUAUAUUGAUUAGUUACACUCCUUCUAUUAAGGAUGAAUUAAGAUAAGAUAAUUAUAUAUAUAAUUGGUCACUUGUUAAAGCUCAAAUAAAUUGGUGAUUUUAUAUAAAUAAAAUAAAAUAAAUAUUGAUGAUUGGAUUUUAUGAAUAGAAAUUAAUCAAAAACUUAUGAAAUAUUAAAAAUAUUUUACAAAAUAAGCAAUGAAGUAAUAAUACAGAUGUGGAAGUACAUGAUAAACCACAUAAAAUUAUAUCCAAUGAAAUCAAAUAUUAAACUAAUAUUUAAAUUGAAUUAAUUAAUUAUAGAGUUAUCUCAAUAAGUAAAUAAUUAAAUUUAUAAUAAUGAAGCAUAAACAAUGAAUUUAAAUUUAAUAUUAAAAAAAUUGAAUUAAUACUCAAAUUGAACAAUAGUCGUAAUUUACUGACAUACCUUAAGUAGUGGUUGUCGUUGAUUUGUAACAAAUCUGCAGCUUCAACGGUCUCAAAAUUAUAAAAUUUUGAGAGAAAAUGAGAAAAAAAGAAACAAUUGAUGCAAUAAUUAAUACGAGAUCAGGAUGGCUUUCAAGUGGAAUGGAGAGGAAAUGGAAUAGAGAUGAAAGCAUUUAUACUGGGAAUCAAAAUAGCCGUUGGGAAAUGUGUUUGAUUGUUGGAUCACAUUCAGAUCGAAAUCUGACCGUUGGAUCAUGAAGGAGCCGUUGAAAACCGUUCCUGACCAUUGGAUGGUAUCAGGGAUCAUUACGGCCGUUGGGAGGAGCGGGUCAACGUCUCCCUUGCGUGUAACAAAACACGUUUUUUUUUUUUAAUUAUCAUCUUAAAAAUCAAUUUCCAUAUUCAAUUGAAAAUUCAACUUUCAAUUGAUUUUUUUUCAACUACAAUAUAUUUAAAAAUAUUUUUUCAAUUAUCAUAUUUUUUUUUUUUUUAGAUUAUGAUAUUCUUUUAAAUCUCAUGUAUUAAGUAAAUAUAAAAUCUCAUACAAAAUGUAUUUUCAUCAUAAUUUACAUAUUUAUUUAUUUUGCCUGUUUCACGCUUUUUGAAGCUUCAAUCUUAAAAUUCCUUGAUUUAUUUUAGAGUUGAUUAAAUAUGAUAAGUUUAGGAUGAUGAGUGACACAUAUUCAUAUUUUUAUAAAUAUAAUGUUAUGAUUUUGUGAAAAUGUUAAUAAUGGUAAUAUUCUAGUAUCCUAUAUCAAUUAUGGAUGAAAAUUUCCAUAAAUUUCGAUAAAAUUUAGUCGAAAUAUCACGUUUCGAUAGUCAUGAAAAUGAAACAGGGGAUCAAAAUUUCAAAGGGCAUAAAUAUCCAAAAAAAUCGACAUGUUUUGCCGAAAUUCGGGCAUUUAUCGAUUAAUAUGUGAAAUAGGGAAAAUAUCUCUUGUUGGCAUUUUUUUGACAAAUUGUUGCCAACUCCAAUCAAACGCAGUCAAAGCUCACCUUGUUUUUUGCCCCCAGCUCCAACGCUGGUCAGACGAUCAAACGUGAUCAAAGCUCACUUUAUUUUCUGCUAAGUUGAGGAGUGCAACUCAUCUUAUUUUAAGUGGUGUAAUAUAUAUAUUAACUUUUAAAAUAUCUUAAUAUAUUUAUAUUAAAAGUUAUCCUAUAAACAAAAUAUUAAAAGAUAAUAAUUUUAUAAUCAAAUAAAAAUUUUUAUUUAAUUAAUUACUAAAAAUAUAAAAAUUAUCAUGAUGUUAGAAAAUAUGAGAAUUUAUCAGAUUAUAAGAACUUGUGGAUGAUCAUCCAUAUUGAUGUAUAUCUCUUUGUGACUUCCUAUAAAAGAAAGAUACCUCUAAUGAAAAUCUAUUUUAUUCUCUUCCAAUAUUCUAAUUUCUCUUUCUUAUUUUCUUCUCCUUUCACUUUAUAAUUUUACAACAUGUUAUCAGUACGAAUAGUCUUUAUAAAAGAAAUAUAAAGAUUUUUCUCUAUUCAAAGAAAUAAGAAAGGCGUUCUCUUUAGAGAAAUAGAAAGAUCUUCUCUCUUUCUUUCUCACAAAAAGGUAUGUGAUAAACUUAUAUCAUGAUUUUCUACUUUAUCACCAUUUGACUCUCUAUUUUCAUUUAUUUUAUUUGAAUAUAUAAAUUUGUACAAUCCCUAUAACCAGAAGUUAUGAGAUAAAUUAUAAAUUAUAAGAUAAAUUCAUAACCAUAAGUUAUGAAAAAUAUAUGCAAUCCCUAUAACCAGAAGUUAUAGAGAAAAUUAUAAAAUUACAAAUACAUGACUAGAAGUUACACCAAACAAUAUUAUAGUCAGAAGCUAUAAAGUAAAUAAUUAAAUAAAUGUUCAUAGCCUAAAACUAUGUACAAAUCUACAUAAUGAAAGUUUAUAGCCCGAAGCUAUGCACAAAUCUACCAAAUGAAUAGUUCAUAGCCUGAAAUUAUGAACAAAUUUAAAUAUUUUCUUGUUCUGACAAAAUAAUCAUGACCUGAAGCUAUGAAAGAUAUUAACUUUUAUUUUAUUUUUAAUUUCUUUUAAUUAUAUUGUGUAACUAGAAGUUAUACAUAAAUAGUUCAUAGCUUGAAGCUAUGUACAAAUUUGCAUAUUUUCUUGUUUUUGAAAAAAUGAUCAUAAUUCAAAGUUAUGAAAAAUAUUGGCUUUUAAUUUUUUAUUUUGUACUCACUUAUUUUUCACAACAGGAAUUAUGGAAAACAAUUUUUAUUAACAAUAGUUUCAUAACCAGAAGCUAUGCAUAGAAUUUCUAAUUCUCUUGUAUAACUAGAAGUUAUUCAAAACAAAAUUGUCAAUGAAUCUUGGAGUUAUGAUCAAAGAAAGAAAUCAAGCAUCCCUGUAGGAUUGCGUAAAAACACUAGUUUUCCUUCGUCAUCAUCUCCAUGAAGGUUUAACAAAAAAAAAGUUUUUGAUGAGAAAUCACCAGUCUCGUCCAACUAGAUCUGAAUCAUUCCCUGGAGUGAAUGUAAUAUUGUCCCAAACUCGUGGACGAUGACGAGGACGUGGUCGUGAUCGUGGAAGAAAUUCCCGAUACCAUGGUUCUUGUAGUAUUAAUUCACCAAAUUCUCAGAAAAUGAAAGCCUCAUUGCACCACUAGAAGUGGAAUAAUACUGAGGUAAAACAAGAAAAUGAGAAGUGUUUAUAAGAUAAACCUCCUAAGAACUAUGAGAAUAAGUGUUAUAGAUGUAGUAUGAAGGGACAUUGGUCGCGUACUUGUUGUACGCUCAAACAUUUGGUUGACGUUUACCAAGCAUCAAUAAAAGGAAAGGAAGUUGAAAUGAACUUCAUUGAUAGUAAUGACCAAGUGGAUCUAACCCAUUUAGAUGUUUCGGAUUUCUUUGAGAAUCCUAAUGAGAAAAUUGACCAUCUAAUUGGUGAUGGAAAUGUUUGUUAUGAUUAAACGUUAUGUUUUUAUUUAGUUCUUUGCAAAUAUGUUUACUUUGUUAUCAUUUUUUAACACAUUGUUUAUUGUUAAUAUUUUAUAGUUUAUUUCACAUUUUAUUAUUUAUCAUUUAAAUUCUUUUCUUUAUUUAUACUUGAAGGUACAUGGAUCUCUCUCAUACCUUGAUCCAUCAUUACAAUUAGUUUGAUUAUUGAAAUACUUCCUAGUUAUUUCAUGUAUAAAUUGCUCCACACUUACAAAAUCAAAUGUGUGAGAUACUUACAAAAUAUAUAACUUUAAAUUAUCUUUUCAUAUUUGUUUUAUUGUGUUAUAUAUGCUCUCAUUGCUUUUACAUAACUUAUUAAGUUAAGUUAUCAUUGAUAACUAAUAUUUUUCCAUUGAUUUUAACUUUUUCUCUAUGAUAAUAUUUAUUUAACUCUAUAAAGACGAAGUCUUUAUGACAAUUUUUUAUGACUUGUUACUUUGAUGAAACUCUUAUUUCAUUAAUUGCACAACAUUGAUGACAAACAAUGCUAAUACUACAUUAGAUAAUAGAAACCUAAUUAAAGGCUCCAGAAGAGUUUAUACUAUGUCACUAGUAGUAUUUGAUUCCAUGUGAAUGACAUUUUAUACAAUGAUAGAUCCAAAAGAAUCUUUUAAGACCCACUUGGUCCCCCGGGAUAAAAGGUUAUAUGAAUGUACAUUACAAAACCAGAAGUUUUUAUUUAGUGACUAGUCUACCUAUACACUUAAAAGCUAAAAUGACAUGUUGUGUAGAUUAUCAUUUUAAUGAGACAAUUUUUAAGCUUAACCAUCAUCAAAUCCUGAGAAGAUCUAUGCAUGCGGUUUCUCUUAUAUAUUGAGCUUAACCAUUCAUUCCUAUUCAAGCUUUUUUCAUCUUGCUGACCCUAGAAAAUUAUAUGGAUAUAUCUUAACAGUUGAGUAUUUUCUUAUGACAUCUACAAUGAAGAUCCAACUUUCCUUCUCUCUUUCUCUCUCUCUCAUAACUAUCUUUUUGUAAAUAUGCAGAAAAUAGCUGAACUGUUACAGACAAAGAGUGGUAUUUCUUUUGCAGAAGAGGGAGAAAAUAUAGGAAUAGCGUAAGACUCAAUAGAGUCACGGGGUCUGGAUUUUGGAAAACAACCGGCGUAGACAAGCCAAUAUAUUCUGUUGAAGGACACAGCCGUGGUGGUGACUGCAUUUGGUUAAAGAAAUCAUUAGUAUACUAUUGUGGAAGUACAGGAAAAGGCACCAAAUCUGAUUGCAUGAUGCAUGAGUUCCGCCUCCCCGCAGACCAGAAAAAUGCUACUCUCCCCACUGCCAAGGCUGCUGAUCAAGAAGCUGUAAGAAAAAAACAGUUCCCAAAUAUAUAUGUACCAUUGAAUUUACCAUUUCCUCAAAAUCUCUAGUACGUUGGUUAAUUUUGUGUUAUGCUUUGUGGGAUUGUAGGAAGUAUGGACACUUUGUCGAAUUUUUAAGCGAAAUGUGCCACAUAGAAGGUACACACCAGAUUGGAGAGAAGUACCUGCUAAACGCAACCCAACGAAUUCAAAACCUAAAACAUGUGAUAUGAGUCCAGAAAAUUGGGAAGGCUACGUUAGUUCUGGGGCUCCAGUUUCUCUUCAUAAAGGGAAGAAGCCUGUUGGUAGUCACAUUUAUGAAGGGAACCCACUGCCCGCAGGCCAGGUGAGCUCGAUUGUUCAAGGUUCACAACCAGAGUCAUGUUCAUCAAGCAUUUUGAGUAACGAUGCUAGGGAGUUCUUUGCACAUGGAAAUUGGGGUGAGAUCGUAUCAGUCAUGGAGCUUUCUUUUGAUCCAUCAUCUGUGAAUAAUUUUAAAAUUAUGCAUUAGUACUGAAUUUCAGUUACAUAUGGUCUUCAACUGGGGGUGCAGAUUACUGUUUGAUGUAUGCAUAAAACUAAUUUCGUGGUUGAAUAUUGCUCUCUUUCUAGUAACUUACUGUUCAUCAUCUUUAGCAGAAUUAGUGUGGUCAUAUUGGGAAAAUUAAUUUAUGGAAAUCAUGGUCACCACACAAGUUGAUAGAUUUUGAGGCUGCUGGGGUUUCAAGAUUGGAUUUGGGGGCUGAUUUAAUAAUGUAAACCUACCAACACCUUGGCCCUGAUCAGUGGCCGGCUUCACCAUCUAGCUGUUAGAAACAUAAAUAGCUCUAGGUUUAGUUAUAAAGUCAACACACACACACAUAAAUAGCUCUAGGUUUAGUUAUAUAGUCAAAACACACACACACACAGAUAGAUACACAAACAGAUAGAUGUAUAUGUAUACUGACAUAGGAUGCUACAGUAUUUUUCUUGGUAUUUCUAUAUUUUCAUUAUUUACUGUGUAUCUUAAUGGGAUUAAUCAUAAUGCCUUCUUAAAUUUCUAAAAUUUUUGGUGUCUUGUAUAUUUUUCUUAUCUUUCAUUAGUCACACUCAAUGAUUAAAAUAUUGAAAUAACGAAAAUAUCAAUCCUUAGGUUUUACAUAAAAAUCAUAAAUAUCAUAAAUAUUGAUGAAAAUUUUGAAAAAAAAACUUGAUAAAAUGAAAAUUAAUCAAAAUUUAUAUAAAUAUUAUAAAUUUUUUUAAGAAAUAAUAAAAAUAAUAAUAUAAAUAGUAAAGUUGUUUUACUAGAAAAAAUAUUGCAUAGAUAUAUUGAUAUAAAAAAAGAAGAUGAUUUAUGUAAUUUUUUUUUUGUUUAAAAAUGCUUAUGACUUAUUUAUUAGUUUAUAUUUAUAUACAUUUUUUUAUUGUAAAAUUAUUCAUUAUAAAAAUUAUCACCAUGUUUUUAUAUCAUGAGAUAAUUAAAAUUAAUUGAUUUAUCUAAAUUUUAUUUUUAUAUUUAAGUGGUUUUGGAAAAGCUUUAAUUGACACAAUCAGCAUAUAUUUAAUAUAUGUGAUUAUAAAUAAUUAAGGGCAACUUGCCCUAGUGGCAAGGGUUACGUUUUACAUACCCAAGGUGGGCUGAAGCAGUGGCUUGUUUUUUGAAUGUGGAAAGAGGAGGAAAAAAAUAUGGUCACACGGGCUGAGCAGGUACCAUAGUGGGAAAGAGACUGAUGGAGCAAUGAUGCAUGGAGAUGGUGGGUCAUGGGUUGCCAAUUAUGGUUUUCCUAUAGAGGCAGUAGUUACGUACAUUUAUAAAUUUAUUAACUAUUAUUUAUCAAAAUUAAUUUAUAAUUUGGUUUGAUCUUGUAUGCGAAAUAACAUUGAAUCAUAAUAUAAUGUGAUUGCAUUAUUUAAUUAUAUUGACAAUUUUAUUUCAUUCAUGGACCUUGCGUAUUUUUAUAUGAUUUAUACUAUUUUUAUAAAAUCAAGGUUGCUGCAGAAUUAACUUGGAUUACACAAAUAGGUAUGAUUAAGUUAAUUGAAGAUAAUGACAUAAAAAUUAAAUUGUAUAGAAAUUAAAAAUAUAAUUAUUUUGGAAACAAAUUUUUAUGUACAUAUUGUAUAUCAAGGAAAAGGAAAAUAGAUAUUUAAAAAAAUUUAAAAUAGAAAUUUUAAGCGUUUCCAGUAGAUAUGGUCACACGGGCUGAGCAGGUACCAUAAGCACCCUUAAGGGCCGCUCAAGCGUAAGCUGCGCUCAAGCACCCUCAAUGGCCACUUAAGCGUUUCCAAUACUCAAGCAACCUUACUAGGAGCUUAAUGUCACGGACUUAGUCGUUUCCUAAGCUCGUGCGGCACUUAGGCAAAUCAAGACACUUGAUCUUGCUAAGUCAGCCUUACCCCCGACACUUAGCUUGCUAGGCUAAGAUGCUCACGACUCGGAAGCUUGAGAAGUUGUAGGAGGCAACUUUUAAAUAAUGGAAGCUCUUAUUACUCAAGGAAGCCUUUACAAGUGUUUGGAAGCUCACUUGCUUGGUGCCUUGGCCAAAUGAGGCCCUCACCUAUUUAUAGGCACCAAUGGAACUCUCUAGAACCUUGGAGGGUUUCUUACAACUCAAGACUAUUCUAGAAUGUUCUAGGUACAAGCCUAUAUACAAGUAUAUACAAGAGUCUUCUAGAUUUCUCUAGAAAGCCCCGGACUCCUCUCGUGCCUUCCACCAUGGUGUAGAAUUGUGUGGAUUCCUCCAGACUUCUCUAGAACCUUCCACACUCUUCCCACUCUAGGAGUCUCCAGAAGCUUCCUGACUCUAUAUAAGGCCAUGGGGAGGCUCAUUUGGAUCAGCUUGUGACACUCUCCCCCACCUAUGCCGCAGACGUCCUCGUCGCGCCUUCUGCCCGGAAUCGCUCGAUCUGCUCCUGGAACUGCCAUAGUGCCUUUGCUGGCUCCCAGCUAGCCUCGCUUUCUGGUAGUCCCUUCCAUUUCACUAAGUAUUCCGUAGUAGGAGGUACCCCUCGUCUCCUGAUGACCCGAUCUGCGAGGACGUGUUCUACCUCCUUAUCAUAGGAGGUCACGACCGCUGUAGGUGCCCUCUUAGACAACCCUCGGCUUGGAUCAUCCUUGUCUCCGUGAUAGGGCUUCAAGUAGCUUGCAUGGAAAACAGGAUGAAUCUUCAACCUCGGGGGCAGCUCGACUCUAUAGGACACCUUGCCGACCUUCCCAAGUAUGGGGAAGGGUCCUUCAUACCUCCUCACAAGGCCCUUAUGCACCGGCCUUAGGGACUUGAAUUGUUGAGGAAGGAGCUUGACAAGCACCAUGUCUCCUACCUUAUGCUCCGUGUGUCGUCGCUUCUUGUCAGCCCACUUCUUCAUUUUCUUAGCGGCCUUGUCCAAGUAUGAGCGCGCUAUGUCAGCUUGCUCGUGCCACCCUUUCGCGAACUUGAAAGCCGCUGGACUUCUCCCCGUAUAGCCAAUCGUUAGAGUGUGAGGAGUUAACGGUUGCUGCCAUGUGGCUAGCUCGAACGAACUCUUGUUGGUCGCCUCACUCCUUUGUAGGUUGUAUGAGAAUUGGGCUAUAUCUAGCAACCUAGUCCAAUCCUUCUGGUUGGCACUCACGAAGUGCCUCAAGUACAGCUCCAAUAAAGCGUUCACCCUCUCGGUCUGCCCAUCCGUCUGUGGGUGAAAGCUUGUGGAGAAGUGAAGCUCCGAACCCAUAAGCUUGAAGAGCUCCGUCCAAAACUUCCCAAUGAAACGCGGAUCGUGAUCACUGAUGAUGAACUUCGGCAAUCCCCAAUACUUGACUACGUGCUUUAGGAAUAGCCUCGCCGUCUCUUCCGCAGUGCAGUCAGUCAGGACUGCUAUGAAGGUUGCAUACUUAGUGAACCUGUCCACCACCACUAUGAUAGAGCCACUGUCCUCCGACUUAGGUAACCCGAUAAUGAAGUCCAUGGUGACGCUGUCCCAUGGGCGUUCUGCUACAGGUAGUGGCUCUAACAGGCCUCUAGGUUGUCGCUGCUCCACCUUGUCUUGUUGGCACACAAUACAAGUCCUCACAUAGGCCUCAAACUCAUCCCGUAUUUGAGGCCAGUAGUAAGCCGACUCGAGUAGUGCCCUAGUGCGUCGUUGCCCAGGGUGCCCUGCCCACUUGGUGUCAUGGCACUCCUUAAUCAGGUUCCGCCUUAUGUUCCCCCACUUAGGCACGUAGAGUCGUCUCCCUUUUGUGUAGAGUAGGCCGUCCUCCACCCAAAACCGCUUAGUCUUUCCUUCAUGAGCCAGGGCGAUGAGGCUCUUAGCCACUGGAUCAUGUUGCAAUCCCUUCCUUAGAAGAUCCAUUAUGUCUCCUUGGGGCUGACUCGUUAUGGACGCUAGCUCGGCUUUGCGACUUAGGGUGUCGGCCACAUGAUUAGCACUUCCUGGCUUAUACUCCAGCGUAUAGUCGAACUCAGCCAGGAAUUCUUGCCACCUAGCUUGUUUAGGACUCAGCUUCUUCUGUGUCUGGAAGUAGCUAGUGGCCACAUUGUCGGUCUUCACUAUGAAGUGAGACCCUAGCAAAUAGUGCCUCCAGGUGCGCAAGCAGUGAACGAUAGCGGUCAUCUCAUUUUCUUGCACCGUGUAACGCCUCUCCGCGUCGUUUAGCUUGCGACUCUCAAAUGCAAUUGGGUGCCUUUCUUGCAUAAGGACUCCCCCAAUAGCGAAGUCUGAGGCAUCUGUGUGUACCUCAAAGACCUUGGUGUGGUCGGAUAGUGCAAACACUGGCUCCUCAGUCAUAGCCUUCUUUAGAUCCUCAAAGGCUUGUUGGCACCUUCCAUCCCAUUCCCAUGCCUUAUUCUUUUUAAGAAGAUCAGUGAGUGGAGCGGCCCUUCCCGAAUAACCCUUUAUGAAUCGCCGGUAGUAAUUAACUAAACCAAGGAAAGAUCUGAGUUGAGGUACCUUGGUUGGUGGAUCCCACUCCUGGAUGGUUUUCACCUUGCUAUCAUCCAUCAUCAGCUUGCCAUCCCUGAUGCGAUGCCCUAGGAAGCUCACUUCCUCCUUAGCAAACGAGCACUUCUCUUUCUUUACGUAUAGCUCGUUCUGCCUCAAGAUCUUAAAGACCUUCCUCAAGUGCUCUUUGUGCUCCUUUAGAGUGUUACUAUAGAUGACUAUGUCAUCCAAGUACACCACCACAAACUUGUCCAAGUAUGGGUGGAAGAUCUUGUUCAUGAGGGUGCAGAACGUUGAUGGGGCAUUGGUGAGUCCGAAAGGCAUUACUAAGAACUCAUAUGAGCCAUACCUGGUCACACAUGUAGUCUUCGGCUCAUCUCCCUCCGCGAUCCUGACUUGGUAGUAGCCUGACCAUAAAUCCAGCUUCGUGAAGUACCUUGCCCUUCCAAGUUGAUCGAACAAGUCAGCAAUGAGCGGGAUGAGAUACUUGUUCUUCACCGUCACCUUGUUGAGUGCCCGGUAGUCAAUACACAUCCGUAGGGAUCCAUCGUGUUUCUUUUGAAACAAGACCGGCGCGCCAUAGGGAGCCUUGGAUGGUUGGAUGAACCCCGCGUCUAGCAACUCUUUAAGUUGUCUCCUUAGUUCCUCCAACUCAGGUGGUGCCAUCCUAUAUGGCCCCAUAGCAGGGGGCUUGGCUCCCGACUCCAGCUCAAUCUUGUGAUCUUCCUCUCUCCUAGGAAGAAGUCUCUUAGGCAACUCGGGCGGCAUCACAUCCUUGAACUCAUCAAGGACCCCCUUGAUUUCUUUAGGCAUGGGUUCUCCCGACCCAUCAUCCUUUUCUUCCUUUAGGGUGGCGAGGUAGGUCACCUCUUCCCUCUUUAACCCCUUCUUUACUUGCAUAGCGGAUAACAUAGGGGUCUUGAGCGUACUUUCAGUGACCAUAGGGACCAUGCAUGGCUUCUCCUCCUCUAGGAUAGCCAUUGAGCGUAGGAAAGGUAGUGGCACGGCUUUGACCUUCUGUAGGAAGUCCAUUCCUAACACCAUCUUGAAGUCGUCCAUGGGUGCCACUGUGAAGUCGACCCUUCCUUCCCACGAACCGAUGUGCAUAGUCACCCCGCGAGCUACUCCAUGUGAUGGCUUGGCGGCUGAAUUGACUGCCUUGAGCCAUCCUCCUUCCUUGGAUGCUUGGAGCUCCAGCCUUCUUGCCUCAUCCUCCGAGACAAAGUUGUGAGUGGCACCUGUGUCCACCAGGGCCUUGGUGGCCUUCCCAUUCACCAAGGCCUCCACAUACAUCAGCCCUUUGCUUUGAGGCGUCUUAGGCAUCGGCUUGGCCUUAAGGGCAUUUAGGAGCUGCAACGAUCCCAUCUUAGCAUCGCCUUCCUGCUCCUUCUCCUCGAUCAUAACAUUUAAAGCCUUCCUCUUAGGGCAGUCCCGUGCCCAGUGUGGACCAUCGCACAUGAAGCAAUUGGUCCUAGGCGUGAACUCCUUUCGCUUGUCCUUGCCUUUGCCAUCCUUGCCACUAGGGCCUUUGCUUGAUCCUUCCUUAGAGGUAUGGCCUUGCGACCUCUUGUCUCCCCCGCCUUUGGCCUGGUUACCCUUAGAUGGUGGCUUGGGCUUGGAGGAGUCUCCCCUUCUAUAAUCCACUAAGGAUUCGGCUACUGCCAUGGCCGUGGCUAGGUCUUGGACACCACGUCUCCUCAACUCUUGCUCGGCCCAGCUUUGCAAGUUGUCCAUGAAGUUGAACAGCAGCUCCUCCUCAGCCAUGUUAGGUAUCUCAAGCAUAAGAGUAGAGAAUUCUUUGACAUACUCACGGAUCGAGCCCGUGUGCUUGAGACGCUUCAAACUCUUCCUUGCUAGGUAAGCCACGUCUUCGGGGUAGAAUUGCCUCUUGAUUUCUCUCUUAAAGGCAUCCCAUGUGUCUAUGGUGCACGUCCCUCUCUCUAUGUCGGCAAACCGUCGACGCCACCAUAGAGUAGCAUUAUCAAUGAGGUAAAGGGUCGCGGUGCGUACCUUAGUGGCUUCAUCCAUUAGUGCGAUGGCCUCAAAGUAGCGCUCCAUGUGCCACAAGAAGUUAUCUAACUCCUUAGCAUCCCUCUUGCCACUGAACGCGUGUGGCUUGGGCACCUCCACCCUUGGUGCCUCAUGAGUGGCCAUGACUCGUGCUGAUACAGCGGUCUUAUAGAUGGCCAGCUCUUGUCGAAUCUCUUGGUCUCGGGCCUCCAUGCGUGCAGUCAAGGCCUCCAUCCUUGACUCCACACUAGCGAACAUGCUCAUGACCUUGUCUUGGAAGGACAUGAACUCCUCGUGUGACACCGGCUGAACUUGCGAGACCAGCACCCCCUCGCGAAGGUCUUGGAUCUGCUCCCUUAGAUCCUCUGAGCCCUUCUCCAUGCCUUGCUCGAUCAAGUCCACCCCUUCCCAGGUGUCUGCCAUGGCUAGCUCCACCUUGGCUAACCUUGCCUCCAUGUUGGCAACAACAUCACGAGAUGUAUCCUUCUUACCUCUACCCCUAUCCCGUGCAGUAGGCUCGGCCUCCCUCCCACGGGUUUGUUCGCUAGUCUCCUCCACGUUAAAGCCCGACAUGCUUCCCUUAUGCCCGCUUCGUAGCCGCGCUCUGAUACCACUUGUCACGGACUUAGUCAUUUCCUAAGCUCGUGCGGCACUUAGGCAAAUCAAGACACUUGAUCUUGCUAAGUCAGCCUUACCCCUGACACUUAGCUUGCUAGGCUAAGAUGCUCACGACUCGGAAGCUUGAGAAGUUGUAGGAGGCAACUUUUAAAUAAUGGAAGCUCUUAUUACUCAAGGAAGCCUUUACAAGUGCUUAGAAGCUCACUUGCUUGGUGCCUUGGCCAAAUGAGGCCCUCACCUAUUUAUAGGCACCAAUGGAACUCUCUAGAACCUUGGAGGGUUCCUUACAACUCAAGACUAUUCUAGAAUGUUCUAGGUACAAGCCUAUAUACAAGUAUAUACAAGAGUCUUCUAGAUUUCUCUAGAAAGCCCCGAACUCCUCUCGUGCCUUCCACCAUGGUGUAGAAUUGUGUGGAUUCCUCCAGACUUCUCUAGAACCUUCCACACUCUUCCCACUCUAGGAGUUUCCAGAAGCUUCCUGGCUCUAUAUAAGGCCAUGGGGAGGCUCAUUUGGAUCAGCUUGUGACAUUAAGCAUUCCCAGCACGCUGUGCUGAAGCGCCCCCAAUUGCCACUUGAGCGUUUCCAACACUCAAGCAAGGUACCAAAUGCUUGAGCACUCGACAUCCUAACCCCUGAAGGCUAAAUCCAUCCAUUUCCUCCACGAACUCAACCAUCCUUACCAAGUCCAAGUUACCUCUUAUAUUUUGUUUUGUAGCUAACAAAUAUAUAAAAACUAAGGAAUAAAAAAUGUGCCCUAAAGUAAUCAACGGAGCUAAAUUUCAAAAGCCAUCUGAAUGCAUUUAUGUGGGUACUGUACUAAUGAUGUAGUAAUAAGUUUGACCUUAUAAAUUAAGAAGAGUGGAGCAAUAUUGAAAGGAACUUACACUAGGUGUUGAAAAGAAAGAUUAAGCAACAUCUGAUCUCCUUUUAAAUUCUCAAAUUUAAAAUUAUUUUUCAAAAUAAUUUUAUUAUUUGGAAAACAAUUCUUUUUAAAUUAUCAAUUUAAAGUUAUUUUCAAAUUAAUGUUAUUUCUAAUUUUCAUGUAAAUCCAUGACUUUUUUUUUCUCAAUCAUUGAACCAUACUUAUUUAUUUAAUCCCAAGUUGAUUCUAUGGCAAGUUUGAAUCUUCAAAUGAAUGUAAAUUAUAAAAAAGUACACAAAGUCCUAAAUUAGGAUGAUGGGAAUAAAAUUUUCAACUUAACAAAAAUAGUUUAUUAAGUUGUACUUCAAAAUUUGGAUGAUCUUAUGUUAUAUUGUUUAUUUCCCUUUCUAGAUUCAAACAAAGGCAGAGUGUUAUUUAUUAAUGGCAGAUUGUCCAUUAUACUAUUGAUCAUUACUAGUAGAUUUCUUUCAAAACCUACUUUGACCAUCAAAGAUAAAUCAUUAUUGACAAACAUCUAAGUAUUUCCCAAGUUCAAUCAAAGUUUUCUUGAUUCAUAUGCAUUUAAAUUUCAACUUUCUUUUGCAAAAGAAAUUCAAAAAAAAUAAUAAUAAUAAUUAAAAAAAACCUACUAAAAAAUAAGGGCUCGUUUAGCUAUGUUUUAUGUAUAAAAGAAACAAGUGAAUUAUUUUAGAUCAAUUUUUACUCUUAAAUUUACAAUAUUAAUUGAAUCACUAUUUAAGUCUCAAGUUAUUUUUAAAAAUUAGUAGAUUCAUGAAUGAAUCCAAGCCAUUAAGUCUGACUUAAUUUGAAGUUUAUUUUCCUAAUGAACAUAAUUUGUAAAAAUAUAAUUAUAUGCAAAGAAUAAACUAGUCAAGUCAUUUAAAAUAAAUUUUAGUGUAUGACUUUUUAAUAUUAUUGAGUUUUAUGACCUUUUAAUACUAAUUAAAUCGGUUUUUGAGUUUCAAAUUGUUUCUUAAGACCCUUGAUUGAUUCUACCAUAAAGGCCUAAUGGAAUAAUUACCUAUUCUAUCUUAUUCGCUACCAAUAGUCAUAUUCAAAUUAAACUGCUAUCAAUUCUAAGCUUUAGUCAUCUAUUCGAUCAAUGUAUCUUUAUUUUUAAAAAUUGGUGAAAACAAUUUCUAUUUAUUCUCUAACAAUUGUUAUCUAUUUUAUUUUAUUUUCAAAAAUUUAAAAUAAAGAACAAUAGUUAAAUAUUGUUAUGAAAUUUAAAAUAGCUUUUUGUUUAUAUGACCAAAAAACUAUUCUCUAAUCACAUAGCCAAAUAAGCCCUGAAGAACAAAAAUCAAGACUAAUUACAAAAAUACCUAUCUUAACAAUGCAAGAGGGAAGCUAGUAGUUGAAAUAAGUGGUGCAUUGGGGCCCACUAGCCAUUCUUUUAUAUUAAUCUAUUAAAGUAGUUCCAUUGGUUAUUCACAUUGCAAAUUGUCACUUCCAUAAAAUUAGCAGUAUUUUUAUUAAAGGUAGUUCCACUCAUUAUUCACUUUGCAAACCGUCACUUUCUAAAAUACUGUAUCUUCACUAACUUAGUGAACUUUUAGGUCAUCACAACGUCAAUUGGGACAAAAAUCACAUUGUAAGUGUAAUCUCGACCUUAAACUCUCUUCUCCCCCAACUCUCUUACUUUCCAUGUGGAGUACAAAUUGGAAUUUUUAUUUUAUACAUUGGAAGAAUUCGCUUAUUUAUAUCAGUUAAUGAAAGAGCCCAAUGCAAAAAAAAUUACAAGCAUGAGAAAGUGAAAAUGGGACAAAGAGACAUAAACCAAAGCAAAGAAUUCACACUAUAAAAAAUGGUACAAUCUUCAAGGUGUGCUUUCUCUCGAGACACUAGAAUUCUCCUAGGCUUGCAUGUUUUCUUUGUUUACCACUUAUUAGACCGCCAACUGCUUUCCAAGAUGCUACCACUUAGCCAAAUGACAUAGGACAAAUGGAAGUUUAUUGUCCCACAUCAGUUGAUUAUCAACAUUGGUUGGGCCUCAUGUGGGACUACAUCUAUCCUCCAUUAGCUUGGACUUUUAGGAGUGUAUAUGGUUUGACAUCAUUUAAUAUUAGACCGAUAUUUGGGUUGGCUUACCUAGUAGUUGUUGAUAUGGACAUCAAGAACUAAAUGAGGGUGUUUGACAUAAGAUGAAUGGAAGUCAAUGUUCCAAAUUGAUUAAUUAGUGAUGUUGGUUGGGCCUUAUAUGAAACUACCUCUAUCCCCUUAGCUUUGGCUUUUGGGAGUGUAUAUGGUCCUACAUCACCAAACCUUUGAGACAACAUUUUGGACCUACAAAAUCCCUCAUAGUAGUUGGGAAUGAGGCUUUUGGGCAGCUCCAAAGAAGAAGAGAAGUUGAGGGAUUUUCAGCUACCAUCCUCAUGUUGUCUUUCUUAUUCUCAAGCUAGCUCUCUCAAUAAUUUUCGUUGCUAUAUUAUAUUUGUGUAAUUAGUUUUUCAAGACUUUAGUAUAGUUCCCUAUUAUGUAGAUAUUGAGCACUUUGAACUCCAAUUUAAUGUUUAUAUCAAUUGCAAGUUUUGACCUUAUUUUCUUUGUUCUUUAACGUUUGUUACUAGAAGUUCUUCAAAGUUAGGGAGGUCCCUUCGAGAACAAUUAAUACACAUCAUGGGAGGAAUUGAUAUUGUCUUCACCAUGUAAUUGAAGAUUCCCCAUUGGAAGGAAAACCCAUUUUACUCCUUGGAAUGGAAACUUAGAAGUUACUUUUUAAGGUAUUUUAAGUGUUGAGGGUUCUAACCCUUUUUGAACUUUAGGCUACUUUGUUUCCUAAUGGAAAACAUGAGAAAAAAAAAAAGUAAAAUGAAAGUAAAAAACUAGACUUAAAAUCAAUAAAUUAUGUUUAUAUGCUACUUCAAACUCAUUUCACUUAUUUUAACUUUUUUUAUAUUAAAUUCAAAUAAUUAAAAAAUGCAUAAAUUUUUAAUUAAUUUUAAUCAUAUUUAAUUUUUAAAAAAUAUUUUUAAUGAUAAAAUUAAAUAUUAAAAAAUUAUUUUUCUUAAUAUUUUUUUUCUUCCUUUAAUCCUUGUUUAGAACCAAAUAUAACCUUAAGACUGACAUUGGCAUCACAAGGACAAUAAGGCUUUGAAAAUGGAAAGAAGGUUAAGGUUGCAAGGCAAAGCUACUUGGACAAAAUCACUUCAAAUACUCUACCUAGGUUUUUCCCUAUAAAUGCUAUUGGUUGUAGGCUUUGAGUUGUGCAUUGGCUAUGAAAGAAGGAACCUCAUUAGACCCCCUAUGCUUGGCAUUUAAAUUUAUUCGUUUUUUACAUAGCUAUAAAUCAUUGUUUUCACUUUUUCUAACCAAAGAUUUCCCAGGAUUCUCUCAAUAUCUCCUUAUUAAACAACUCUCUUUCAAUCAUAAUUUAAAGAGAAAAUCAGCACCACUUUUGGAACUAAUUCAUCUCAUGCCUCUCAAUGUCCACUGCCUGCCACUUUGGAACAUUAUGCCUGAGAAUACUACUAAAUUCUUUACUUGCAAACACCCCAUGUACUUGGGGAAUCGACACAGUCAACAUUCAGGGCUUAAGAAUUCUUUUCAUUUUAGGCUUUUAGAGUAACAAACCCACAGUAUGCAAGUAAAUGGGAAAAUAAUUGGCGAUUACAAUAUACAGAGAACAAAUAAAUGAACUAGAACAAAACAAAUAAAAAAUUUUCAAAUUUAAUUAUAAAGCGCACUCAGUAUGUUAGGCUCAAUAUUAGAAUCUAGAAAAGAUCAUAAGGAAAAAUGAACUCAAUAAAAGAUUACAUACAAACAAGUCAAAAAUGACCCACAAAAAUAACAGGCAUUAAAGUACCACUCUAAGAUGUAUAGAUCCACAAUAAUUUUGGGAACAAAAACUGACAAACUGAAAUUGCAAGUAUAAAGACUGAAAGUCGUCUAUUACUGUUUAGAAAACAAAUACACCUGAGGAAGAUUUAGAAGCCACAACUGCUGCCAUCUAGUGUACGUUUGGGUUUGAACUAAAGCUUCAACAAUCAUCCAUGAUAGAGAAUUUUGGAUCCACCCUUCCAUUCUCAAUUAACCAUCCUCUUAAUCCAUACUUUGCAUGUUUUAGUAAUGCAAUUUAAGGUUUUGAAGUGAGGUUGGUUCCAUCUUCACUCUCCAUUAUGAGAAAUUGCUCUUAUAUAGGCAACACCUAUUUCAGCAAGGAAAGAUCAAUGACAUCUUUUAGGCCUUCAGAAAUAAAAAGGACAAAACAAUUUUUAGGAAUAUAAAAUAAAUUGAUAAAACCAUACUCUUCCAUGAUCUUCAACAUAAAAAUCAGCAUCUUUCCCUUCUCUCAUUAACUUUGGGAUAUAAAUGAACUUCAUUUAUACAAGCAACCUGUCGAAUAAAUAUAUCUUAUUAGACUAUGAGCCAUGCCUUUUUUUAAAUUCUUAUAUUUAAAGAAUGGUAUAAAAAGAACCAUAAGAACGUCUAUCAUGAAGCCAAUAGUAAGCAUAAAUCAAAGGUAUAGAAAGGUUACCCUCCAUAUAUGAAAACGAUCAAUCCUACACCCAUUUUCAUAUCAAACACUGAAGUGGCUUAUUUUUCUUAUAAAAAAAGAAAACAAUAUAUCAUUUGAAAUUCACCACAAAAAAAAUAAAAAUGAAAAAAGCUAGACUUCAAUAGUAUUUCUCAAUAGUUGAAACCUUCAAACUAGUGAUUUAUAGGUUCAACUAAUAUCAUCAAAGCAUGCUAAUAAAAGGAUAACUAUGCUUAUAAAUGUUUAGUUAAAUCUAAAAUCAAAAUUAUAAUUCAAACAUUUAUAGGAAAACUAUCUAAUUAAUUAUAUUAAAAGUCUUGAGUAGCCUAUCUUUUAGGCCUUUAGAGAUAAAAAGAACAAAACAAGCUUUAGAAAAGAUAAAAUACAUUGAUAAAACCAUACUCUUGAGUGAUCUUCAACAUAAAAAUCAACAUCUUUCCCUUCUCAUUUACUUUGGGAUAUAAAUGAAUUUCAUUUAUAUAAGCAACCUGUAGAAUAAAUAUAUCUUAUUAGACUAUAAGUCAUGUCUUUUUUAAAAUUCUUAUAUUAAAAGAAUGAUAUAAAAAGAAUCAUAAGAACAAUGUCUAUCAUGAAGCCAACAGUAAGCAUCAAUCAAAAGUAUAGAAAGGUUAUCAUCCAUAUAUUGUGAAAACAAUCAACACUACCCACUUUCAUAUCAAACACUGAAGUGGUUUCUCUCUCUAAUAAAAAAAGAAAUGAAUUUAUCGUUUGAAAUUUACCACAAAAAAAAUGAUAAAAGCUAAGCUUCAAUAGUACUUCUCAUUAGUUGAAACCUUCAAACUAAUGAUUUAUAGGUUCAACUAAUAUUAUUAGAGAAUGCCAAGAAAGGAUAACUAUGCCUAUAAAUAUCUAGUUAAAUCUAGAAUCAAAAUUCUAAUUUGAACCUUUAUGGGAAAACUAUCAGAUUAAUUACAUUCAAAGACUUGAGUAGCAUAUCUUUUAGGCCUUUAGAAAUAAAAGAAAUAGAACAAUCUCCAGGAAAAAUAAAAUAAAUUAAUAGAACCAUACUCUUCAGCAAUCUUCAACAUCAAAAUCAAUAUCUCUCCCUUCUCUCAUAACUUUGAGAUAUAAAUGAACUUCAUUUAUAUAAGCGACUUGUCGAAUAAAUAUAUCUUAUUAGAAAAUGAGUCAUGUCUUUUUUAAAAUUCUUAUAUUAAAAGAAUGGUAUAAAAAGAACCAUAAGAGCAAUGUCUAUCAUAAUGCCAAUAGUAAGCAUCAAUCAAAAGUAUAGAAAGGUUACCAUGCAUAUAUUGUGAAAAUGAUCAACCCUACCCACUCCCAUAUCAAACAUAGAAAUGGUUUAUUUUUCCUAUAGAAAAAAAUAGAAAAGAUUAUCAUUUGAAACUCACCACAAAAAAAUAAAAAAAUAAAAAAAUAAACUUAAAAAUUAAAAAUUAAAAAAUUAAAAAUUAAAAUACCUAGGCUUCAAUAGUAUUUCUCAAUAGUUGAAACAUACAAACUAAUUAUUUAUGACAUCAUAGCAUGCCAAGAAAAGGAUAACUAUGCCUAUAAAUUUUUAGUUAAAUCUAGAAUCAAAAUUCUAAUUCAAACAUUUAUAGUAAAACUGUCAAAUCACUUAAAUUGAAAGUCUUGAGUAGCAUCAUAAGAAAUUUUAUAUAUAAGAAAUACUAAAAUACUAGACUCAUGAACUCCAAUUCAAUAAUUCCUAGUGCUCAUGCACUUUGCUGAUACUCUAUUGUACAUAAGAACCAUUGUCUUAAAACUCGAAGAAAUUCAUAAAAGGUCUUAGCAAAUUGGUUGCAAAUUAAUGGAUGAUAAUAAAUACAAAUUAUGUGCAAUGUACAAAAUAAAUAAAUAAAUAAAGAUAUCAAAAGAUAGGGAGUAUGAUAUACUUAUGCCCAUGCACCCACCAUUUACAACUUGUCAUUAUGAGCCUCUAGGACAGAAGUGAGACUUUGCCAAUCUUCAUUAUUAUAGCAUUUUUUGCAUUAGAUGGGAUGUGACCACAUUGACAAAUAUAUACUUAAUUAAUCUAAUCUGUUACCCAGGCAUGUUGAAACAAUUUUUUAGUAAUUUGACAUUCAAGUAUCUAUUGAUGGUUAUAAACAUAUUUCUUCACAUAAUUAGAAAAUGAUUUUUUUCUUUUAUUAUAAAAAUGAGAAAUGUGACCAAAGACAAAUUACUUUUUGUUUGAGUCACAAAAUGAUGUGUAGUGCCAAAUUGUAAAAUUUUCAAGUGUGGUAAUUGAAAAUAUAUUGAAUCUCUUUUGUGAAAGACUCUAAUUUUAUAAUAAGAUGAAUAUUCAUUUUAUCUUAUGCGGAAAAACAUAAAUAUCAAGACGCUAGAAAGAUGUUAAGCCUCUAAGCCAUAAUGUUGGAAAUUUUCAUAGAGUAUGACAUGCUCCUAUACUGAUGGAUAUAUUGGAUCCUUGAUGUUUUCAAUAUGCGUAAAGAGGGAUACCCUUUUGUGUAGAUUGUUUAGGUGUAGAUGUAGUGGCAUGGAUAUCAACUUGGGGAAAUGAUAUCAGCAAUAAGUGUUGUUGUAAUUGUCACUUGCUUUGAGAGUGGUAGUCCUCCUUGACAUAUCUUGAAGUUUGUCAAAUCUUCAAGAAUGGGCAAAAUCAUACUAUCAACCACCUUCAAUUGAAAGAAAGAAGAAAAAGAAUACUUGUUACCAAUAUUUUUUGUGCAUUCUAGACCACUCAGAUUGCUAAGCUUGAGAAGCUUGAAAAGAGUAUUGUCCAAAAUGCUAUACCAAUUCAAUAGAACAUGAAAAUCAAUGGAUCAAUGUUGCAAAAAAGUAUACUUUUUUUUUAACAAACUAGUUGAGAAGUGAUACACAAUAAAGAAGAUCAAAGUUAGAAAAAGAGUAAAAAUUAUAAACUUGAACAAUGAAGUUUAUAGUAGAUAGUAACAAAAAAUAAGAGAGCAUAAAUCACUAAUGCAAUUGAGCUAACCUUUUCAAUGGGUGUCACCCAUCCAUAGCCUGUCAACAUGUGCCUCUAGAGUACUGAACAACGCUCAACCAAGACUAAGCAUUAUGUCUUUAGUAUUGGCAUUGAUACUGAAUUAAUUUUCAAAAAAAAAAUUAUUAAUCCAAGCACUUUUAUAAUCGAUAUUUAAUUAUUUCAAAUAAGAUAUUAUGGAGCAUUAACAUUGAUUUCUUUUACCAAAAAGCUUAGAAAACUAUCUUCACUCCCAAGCGUAUCCACUUAUGUAUGCAUGUCUAACCUACAUGGCAUGGCUAAUCUUUAUUACAACAAGAAAACAAUCUUAACAGAUGACUAUAAAAACAACAAAGCAUAAAGCCAACAAAAAUGGUAAAUAUGGUUGGCAUUGCAAACCUGAAAUAUUUGACACAAGGCAAAUCUGAAUUAAAGAGAGCACGAGUCUUUACGCAUCAGUCUUCCCUUACCUAUCAAUAUAAAAAGAGCAUGAAGUAAACAAAAAGGUCAACUUUAGAAAAUUAUGAUAACUAAUUUAGAAUACAUUAGUGAGAUAGGAUGUCAAACCAUUUUAAAAUGAACACUUUUUUCGACUUGCAGAUUAAAUGUACAACUCAACCAACUUCUUGAAAAUAGGUAGAUAAUUAAGAAAUUAAUAUUUAAAAUGCACUCAAAAAAUGAUGAAUUUAGGCUUCUGUAGUAGUUCUUAAGAAUUGAAACCUAUAAAAAAACACCAUUUAUACUUGAGUUUUCUUUGGAGAGAGGUACCUAUUGUAAAAAGAGAAAGAAAUCAUUACCAUCUCAUGUCUAGAAGAGAACAUGAACAAAGAAGAAUAUAUUUAUAUAUCUUGAUUUAUAAACAUAUAAAAUCCUCAGAUACAAGACACUUGAAGAAAAACUCCAUUGUGAAUAAUGACUUGAAAUAUGUGCCAUGCCCUUAAAGCUUUAUUGUUCUACUGCCUAUAAGAAUCAAAAGAUGAAAAGUAAAACAAUGUAACAAUCGAUUGUCAAAUAAUAAAACAAAAAGAGACAAAAUGAGGAAGAGAUUGGAAUUGUAAACUUGAAUAAUAAAGAGAGUUGGUAAUGAGAACCUAAAUUGAGAGUAGAAAUCCUUUAUGCGCUAACCAUGUAGUAAAUAUCAAUCUGAGACAUUGAGAAAUUUUUAGCCCAAUCCAAAACCUAUUUCAUUUUGGCAUCAAUUUUUACAGUUAUUUUAAGAUAGGGUGAUAAAUGAUUGCAAGCAGUGGUUUCAAACAUAUAAGCAACAUUCUCAAAAUAUUUAUAACAUCAUCAUCACCAUUAUCCAACAAAAGUAUUUCUUCUUACAACAUAAAAAUCUAACUUCUUAGGACAGUACAUGCUCAAUUCCCUAUCACAGAUGUAAAUUUCCAAAUUCAUAAACAUAUACAAUCCUGACAUUGAGAUUUUCACAAAUAAAUUAUGGUAUGUUUGCACUUCCCUAAAACUUAGAGAAGAUUCUCUUGCAUUAUAUAGAUGUAGAUCCUUAAGAAAAAAGUAAGUCAAGUAUGAAAGCUUAACCCUUUGGUAUGCAUGUGAGAAUUAAUAAAUCAGAACCAAAACCAUAGUCCAAUAGUUUUUAUCAAAUUAGUUAGGAAAAGAUAAUGACAACAUAUCAAAAGCGAAAUGAAAGGCCAAAAGCAUUAACCUAAAUAACAAAGACGUAUUAUGGAUGAGACACAAAUUGAAGAGAGGUUAGCUUGAGGAGUUGAUGGAAAUCCACAUGCAACAAUAUCCAUGCAUAGUUUUUCAACAUAAAUCUCUGGGACAUUGGCUAAAAUUUGGUUGACCACUAUUCCUAUUAGAUUGGCCUAAAAUAUUUAAUAAGCUAAGCAUGUCACAGUGAAGGAAAAUUAAAGAUAAGAUAAAUUGUCUAUAUAAAUCUCUUAUGCUAUGUCCUGAAUAUGUCUUAUAAUCUCUAAUGUUGAUAAGAAUCAUAUUAUUAAACUCUUACAUAAUUUACUAGAGUACAAAAUCUUAUAAUGUGCUAAAAUCCUAUAUAGUAGCUGAUGAUUUUUUUAUUUACAAUUUCUAUAGUAUCUAUUUUAAGUGUUAAAAUUAUAUAAUAUUAUAAUAGUUUGUAUGUUUUAUUAGGAGUAGCCAUGUGCAUUCUUUCCUCCCCAUAAAUCAUGAACUUGCAAAUACCUCUCUCUAAAUUUUGUGAUAUUAAUACUUCUAUAACUACUUUCAUUUUUUUUUAUUUUUUUUUUGUGUAAUUGAUAAUUUCCAUGAUUUUUUAAAUCAAGAUCAAAAUCUUGUAAAUUUUUUUUAUGCUUUUGUUGAUAUCAAUAUUUUGUUCUUUGCUUACAUCUCUAAUAUAGAAAAUAGUUGAGGCAACUAAUGGUCUCUCUCAACCAUAUGAGUUUGUGAUAUUACUCAAGCUAGUAUAAGAAUGAUGCCCAAACUCAGGAAGGACAACAUGUAAUGGGUUUCUCAAGAACCCUAAAGCCUAUUUGGUGGUAAAGAUAAGAAUAGAUUUUCCCAAGAUAUUUGCACCAUUAUCCCUCUAGUAGUAGGGACACUAAUUAAAUUUGUGAUAAAUUAUGUAAUGUAAGCUAGCAUUUCCACAAAUUCUUGGAAUUCAAAACAUGAAGUAACAUGAUCAUUUUUGAUCCAUAACAUUAGAAAUUGGUUUGAAGAUGCACAAUUUUCAAACUUAUUGUAUAAGCUAAUCAGAUGUAUAAGGUGUAAAUAUAAAUAACAAAGCUAUCUUUUGCUUCAUAUGUUGUCCCACGCCAUAAUUAUGAAAGUAGAAUGUAACAAGUGCACAUUGAUUGUCAAAUAAUUAAAAUGAGGCUACAGAGAAUGAGAAGAAAAGUUGGGAUCUUAGAC
Molecule: long non-coding RNA, 39197 nt
Filed under: Vitis vinifera (wine grape)
Lineage: Eukaryota; Viridiplantae; Streptophyta; Magnoliopsida; Vitales; Vitaceae
Description: long non-coding RNA (VVIN_LNC006701)
Source: RNAcentral